UUUGUACUCCCUCCGUCCUAAAAUUCUUGUCUUACAUUUGUCUAGAUACGGAUGUAACUAAUACUAAAAUGUGACUUGAUACAUCCGUAUUUAGACAAAUCUAAGACAAGAAUUUUGGGACGGAGGGAGUAGAUA
Non-coding RNA from Triticum aestivum (bread wheat), 135 nucleotides. The record is from Rfam. Lineage: Eukaryota; Viridiplantae; Streptophyta; Magnoliopsida; Poales; Poaceae.